RNAcentral lists this ribosomal RNA (480 nucleotides) under uncultured bacterium. Its description in RNAcentral is "bacterial SSU rRNA". It matches the Rfam family "Bacterial small subunit ribosomal RNA", at positions 328 to 793 of the family's 1533-position model. The record is from RNAcentral.
UCAGUCGACUCCUACGGGGAGGCAGCAGUGGGGAAUAUUGCACAAUGGGGGAAACCCUGAUGCAGCCAUGCCGCGUGUGUGAAGAAGGCCUUCGGGUUGUAAAGCACUUUCAGUAGGGAGGAAGGUAGUGUAGUUAACACCUGCAUUAUUUGACGUUACCUACAGAAGAAGCACCGGCUAACUCCGUGCCAGCAGCCGCGGUAAUACGGAGGGUGCGAGCGUUAAUCGGAAUUACUGGGCGUAAAGCGCAUGCAGGCGGCCUGUUAAGUCAGAUGUGAAAGACCCGGGGCUUAACCUCGGAAUUGCAUUUGUAAACUGGCAGGCUAGAGUCUUGUAGAGGGGGGUAGGAAUUUACAGGUGUAGCGGUGAAAUAGCGUAGAGAUCUGAAGGAAUACCAGUGGCGAAGGCGGCCCCCUCGGACAAAGACUGACGCUCAGAUGCGAAAGCGUGGGGAGCAAACAGGAUUAGAUACCCUGGUAG